Molecule: long non-coding RNA, 1954 nt
Organism: Caretta caretta (loggerhead turtle)
Lineage: Eukaryota; Metazoa; Chordata; Testudines; Cheloniidae
Source: RefSeq, a predicted model, not a curated record
GAGGGGUUGAAUGCGUGCGGAGGCGCGGUCUGUCGGUGUUAUCUCCCCACCGCCAGCGACAGCGGCGAGCUUCGAUCUACAAACAGAACAAGAAGACCCGGCAGUCAGAGUGCCAUGAGUGGGCGCAGCUGUCUCGUCUUGUCCCUGUUCUGUGGUAUCUGCCUGUCUGAAGUAACCCAGUCCCCCGACCAGAGCGGUGCUGAGUUGGCUGAUGCAAAGAUUCAAUGCAAGCAUGACAUUCCUGAUGGGAAUUACGAUUCCAUUUACUGGUAUUACCGGAAGGCCAGCACUGAACUGACUUACAUCACUCACAGCUACAGUGAGGAGAGAAAUUCAGGACGCUAUGGACUCUCUGUUGACCGUGCCAACAGCUCCAGCAUUUUAACCAUCAGGACUUUACAACCGGGAGAUGGUGCUGUAUAUUAUUGUGCCUUGCAGCCCACAAUGGUUCACCUCUUGUCACACCCUGAACAAUAACCUGCCACUCAAGGAGAGCUUGGUCCAAAGACCAUUGAAGACAAUGGAAAGACCCCUGUUGAAUUCAGUGGUGCAGCUCAGGUGAUUAAAGACAACCGUGGGCAAAAAUGUCCAUAGGAAGAGAAUUCUAGUGCCGAGCAAUAUCGGGGGUUAGAGCUGGAUUGAAUUCCUCAGGGAAGAUUGGCCGAAAGUUAGAAAAUAAAUAGACACGGUGAGUGAGGCAAUAUCCACAGAGCUACCGCAGAGCUCUGUGGAGAAAAAGUUCGGCCGAUAAAAGAUAUUAGAUCUCCCCCUUCUCUCUUCCUUACCCGGGGCCCACACAGCUACCACAACACUGCAAACGGAAUAGAAACGCCGAUAAUGACAAGACACUGACCAAAGGCAAAUGAGUCUUGUAAAGACAAGACAUGCAGGUUAUGAAUGAGAUUUGUAAACCCUUCUAUGGAAAGUUCAUGUCCGUUAAUAAUGAUAAAAUCAAGUGGUUAUUUAAAAGAAUUCAUUGUCCAGUUCUGGUCACCCAUGUACAAAAAAGAUUAAUUCAAAGUGGAAGAGGAGGGCUACUCAGAUGUUCAGGGAAAUGGAGAGCUGAAUUUAGGAGAGGCGAUUGAUUAUUUAGCCUAGAAAAACAAAGGCUGACAGGGGAUGGGCAGGGAUGGUGUCCCUGGCCUCUGCUUGCCAGAAGUUGGGAAUGGGCGACAGGGGAUGGAUCACUGGGUGAUUCCCUGUUCUGUUCAUUCCCUCUGGGGCACCUGGCAAUGGCCACUGUGGGAAGACAGGAUACUGGGCUAGAAGGACCUUUGGUCUGACCCAGUCUGGCGGUUCUUAUUGUCUUAUGAGGAUCUGACUGCUCUUUAUAAAUGUAUCAGUAAGAUAAACACCAGGGAGGGAGAAGAACUAUUUAAGCUACUGGACAAUGUUUGUAGAAGAACAAUGGGUUAUAAACUGGCCACGAAUAAAUUUAGACUGGAAAUUAGAAGAUGUCUAAUCAUUAGCGGAGUGACUGUGAGGUUAUAGAACAGGUGAUAGGAGGAGUGGGCGUGAACAACCAAACUAGUUUUAAAAUGGAGCUUGAUAAAUUUAUGAAAUGGCAUUACCUGAAAUGUUCUAUGAGCCAGGAUGGAGAUCCCUUCCAGUCCUAUGUCCUACGUUCCUAUGGAUAUUAAUUGUUUACCUGAAUAACUAAAUUUUGUCUUUAUUAAAAUAUUGGAAAAAUGAAUUGUGUGUGCAAAUAAAAUCAAUAUAUUAAAUAUCUCUAUAUAAUAUAAAUGUUAUGAAAUAUCUGUUUAUUUUUACUGUAUUUUUGGAUAUCAUGAAUAAAAAGAAGUUGUCUUAAUAUGACAGACCAGAAAAAAUGACUGUGUAAAAAAUCGGUAUUUAAAAAUAAGUGGCUAUAUGUUACAAGAAUGUGAAUUUUAUGAAAUUAUUAUUCCUUUUAAAAUUGUGUAUUUUAAUUAAAAGAUGUCUUCGUUUAUCAGUA